Molecule: ribosomal RNA, 283 nt
Filed under: uncultured bacterium
Lineage: Bacteria
Description: partial 16S ribosomal RNA
Rfam family: Bacterial small subunit ribosomal RNA
Source: RNAcentral
AGCGAACGCUGGCGGCAUGCUUAACACAUGCAAGUCGCACGGGGCGCUUUCGGGCAUCCAGUGGCGGACGGGUGAGUAUCGCGUAGGGAUUUGUCGUUGGGUGGGGACGAACCUUGGGUAAACGUGGGGCGUAAUACCGCAUGACGCCUGUGGGCCAAAGCUCGUGAGGGCGCCUGACGAGGAGCCUGCGUCCGAUUAGGUAGUUGGUUGGUGAUGGCUGACCAAGCCUGCGAUCGGUAGCUGGUCUGAGAGGAUGGCCAGCCACACUGGGACUGAGACACGG